RNAcentral lists this long non-coding RNA (710 nucleotides) under Pan troglodytes (chimpanzee). RNAcentral describes it as "lincRNA". Lineage: Eukaryota; Metazoa; Chordata; Mammalia; Primates; Hominidae. The record is from RNAcentral.
ACCUUGGGAGCCCCGGGCUACUCUCUCACAGCCCUUGUUGCCCUGCGAUCUGUAGGUCCUUGGGGACGCAUAGUUAAGGUGCCAGGACAUCCUGGAAGCUGGGAAAUGCCCAUGGCUGGAGAAGGAAAGAAGGUGUGUUUUGCCUGAUUCAGGGGCUAUAGAGAGAACCAAGUUCUGCAGGCCUGUCACCUAAGUCUCAGGGCGGGGAGACCUUCCUUCACCACGGGUUUGAGGCUAUGGCUAAGUGGUAAGCCUUGGGGAGAUGCAGAAAGGAUCCAUCCCAGGCACUUGGCUAGAGGCAGGUUCCUGGGAUCUGAUAAAACUGAUAAUGGAGACGCUGGAGCUGAUCCGACAUAGCAAUGGUGUUGACUCCCUCCUUAUGUGUGGAUUGCUCAGCGGGGGAACUUGACUGUCCAACAUGCUGGGUGCAAGAACAGCAGAAAGGGGACUUUUAAGAUGUGACAAACAUGAGGCCUCUUCAGAGAGGACUUUGGAAACCAGGCCUUGCUUGGCUGAAUGCUAUCCCAGUGAUUGUACGUGCCCUGUUUGCUGAAUCUACUCAUCCUUAAGGGUACAUUUGCUUCCAGGUAACAUGUUUGUGAGUAAUACUACAAUGUGCAUAUAUCUAUUCCAUGUUCUGCUUUGUCUGUUUGGGAUAUUUUUCAUACACUGAUUCAGUACCAUGUGUAUUCCCUUGCUUUUGUUGUCUC